RNAcentral lists this ribosomal RNA (773 nucleotides) under uncultured Neocallimastigales. RNAcentral describes it as "partial large subunit ribosomal RNA". It matches the Rfam family "Eukaryotic large subunit ribosomal RNA", at positions 22 to 645 of the family's 3401-position model. The record is from RNAcentral. Lineage: Eukaryota; Fungi; Neocallimastigomycota; Neocallimastigomycetes; Neocallimastigales.
AUAUCAGUCAUGCAUAGCAUAUCAAUAAGCGGAGGAAAAGAAACUAACAAGGAUUCCCUUAGUAACGGCGAGUGAAGCGGGAAGAGCUCAAAUUUGAAAUCUUCAAGGUUCUACCUUGACGAAUUGUAGUUUAUAGAAGUGUUUUCUGUUAGUGGAGUGGCAAAAGUUCUUUGGAAUAGGACAUCAUAGAGGGUGAGAAUCCCGUAUUUGGUCAUUCCUCCUAGCGUUGUGAUACACUUUCAACGAGUCGGAUUGUUUGGGAAUGCAGUCCAAAAUGGGUGGUAAAUUUCAUCUAAAGCUAAAUAUUGGCGAGAGACCGAUAGCGAACAAGUACCGUGAGGGAAAGAUGAAAAGAACUUUGAAAAGAGAGUUAAACAGUACGUGAAAUUGUCAAAAGGGAAGCGUUUGACACCAGUGUUGUUUUUCCGAAAAUCAAUUACGAAUGUUUUAUUUUUGAGAAGUUAUGACUUCAUCGGCUUGCUUCUCUCUUUAUGAAACUUUCUUAAUGCACUUUUCGGUUAACAAGUCAACAUCAAUUUCUUUUGUUGUAAAAGGAUAUGAGGAAGGUGGCUUUCUUUUCGGAGAAAGUGUUUAUAGCCUUGUGCCUCUGCAGUCGGAGAGAUUGAGGUCUGCAGCGUAGAUCCUUCGGGGUUAGAUACGUUUGUGCUAAGUUAUAGCUUUUCAUAGACAACUUGUUGACUAUGUUUAGUCUUGUAGCUUACUCGCUGACGCUAUUUUACCUACGCUUAGGAUGUUGAUGUGAUACUGCGAGC